This 1274-nucleotide long non-coding RNA is filed under the name Nicotiana benthamiana. RNAcentral's name for it is "long non-coding RNA (NBEN_LNC007396)". Lineage: Eukaryota; Viridiplantae; Streptophyta; Magnoliopsida; Solanales; Solanaceae. The record is from RNAcentral.
GGGAUUAUACUUGGUAGUUAUUGUUGUUGUUGUUGUAAAGGUAAAGCGAACAUAAGUACUCAUAUUGAACUGAAAGAGGAUUGUGUGAUUCCUCUUUCCUUUUAUUACUAUAGAGAUACCAGAUACCACAUUGAAUAGUCAACAAUUGUUCAACGGUUUAAAAGGUUACAGAUAUAUCUCAGACUCGGCAAAACUUUAUUAGGUAUUCCUAGUAGGUGGAACCAGAUAGUUAUCUUGUUGAUUUUGCGCUUCCUAAUGUUCUUCGUAUAAUACAUGAGCUUAUUUUUCUUAAAGUAUGUGUGAUUUUUUACCACUGCCCUUAUAACAGUGUUUCAGAAUUUUAUCGUCCAACUUAAAACAGAUAACCAGGAAAUCUUCCAGAUCAGAGGCAUCUCUAGUUUUUAAGACAAUGUGGGAGAACUUCACUCAGACAAAAAGUUGAAGAUCAAGAGAGACAAAUGUCUACCGAUGGUUCAUUAUUUCUAAAGGUACUGGGCAAAAACAAUUGAAAGGAGAAAGGGUUUAUGACUUGCAGGGACAAUCAGGGCACACCACAGAAAAAGGAGGAAAAUCACAUCAGAAAACACAGAGAGAGUUAACAACCUACUUCCAGUAUUAUAAAGAGGCACCAAAGCAAUUAAAGAACAUAUAACCUGUUAAGAUAAUGCGAAGACCAUUCAGAAACAAACCAUUCCUUCGACAUUUAUGAAAAAGGAAGAAAAAAGAAGAGGAAAACUAGUCACUGAACAAAAGAUUGUCGCAAAGGAGACUUAUCUCCAGAUAGUUUUGCACUGACCUGCAUUAUGAUGGAACUUGCUCGUACACCACAUUGCAAACUUCAUAAUUCAACAACAACAACAACUACCCAGUAUAGUCCCACAAAGUGGGGUCUGGGGAGGGUAAUAUCCCCAGACCCAUAUGUGUCUCAGAUUCGAGCACCCACAGCUCAACAACAACAACAACAACUACGCAGUAUAGUCCCACAAAGUGGGGUGUGGGGAGGGUAAUAUGUAGACGGGUCUUACCCCUACCCGAACGGGCAGAAAGGCUGUCUCCAAUCGACCCUCGACUCAGUGAAGGAAAGAAAAAACAAAAACAAAAACAAAAACAAAAGAGCAUUAGUAACUCUAGCAGAAAUAGAGUAAAUAAUUAUCUAAACAUAAAAACCAUAAAUAAAAUAGCAUGCAAUAAUAUCAGAAAGUAACUACCAUAAAUAACUACCAUAAGNUAACUCCAACAGAAAUAGCGUAAAUAAUUAUCUAAACAUAAGAACC